Non-coding RNA from Taeniopygia guttata (zebra finch), 543 nucleotides. The record is from RefSeq and is a predicted model, not a curated record. Lineage: Eukaryota; Metazoa; Chordata; Aves; Passeriformes; Estrildidae.
ACCGUGGCCACAGCUCCCAGUGACACCGUGGCCACAGCUCCCUGUGACACCAUGGCCACAGCCCCCAGUGACACCAUGGCCACAGCUCCCUGUGACACCGUGGCCACAGCUCCCUGUGACACCGUGGCCACAGCUCCCUGUGACACCAUGGUCACAGCCCCCAGUGCCAUGGCCUGCUGUGGGUGGAGAGGUGCAGCUCCCUCCAGCACAGCCCAGAGAUCCCGAGUUUUCCAACAGGAUGGAAAGAAAAAAGGCUUUUGUUUAAUGCAAGACAGAAAAAGAAACUUCCAGUAAAGCAGGUAAAAUGCCUUGCCAGCCCCAGCUACACUGUCCCAGCUAUGUGUCCUGCUGCACAUCCCUCUGCCCAUGGGGCUUCUAACAGGACACGUUUCCUCAGGACCUGUGGAAGAGAAAGGGCAUUUAUAUACCUUAAUUAAUAGUCAACCACAGCUCUUUGGACCUGUUUCCAUGGGGACCACAGCAUGGCUUAGGCUUGUCUUCAGUGUGGUUAAUGUGGAUAAUAAAAGCACUGAAGAUGCUGCA